RNAcentral lists this transfer RNA (76 nucleotides) under Chloroflexota bacterium. RNAcentral describes it as "Chloroflexi bacterium tRNA-Arg". It matches the Rfam family "tRNA". Rfam says of the family: Transfer RNA (tRNA) molecules are approximately 80 nucleotides in length. Their secondary structure includes four short double-helical elements and three loops (D, anti-codon, and T loops). The record is from RNAcentral. Lineage: Bacteria; Bacillati; Chloroflexota.
GACCCGGUAGCUCAGCGGAUAGAGCGCUUCCCUACGAAGGAAGAAGUCGUGGGUUCGAUUCCCUCCCGGGUCGCCG